Molecule: ribosomal RNA, 274 nt
Filed under: uncultured bacterium
Lineage: Bacteria
Description: partial 16S ribosomal RNA
Rfam family: Bacterial small subunit ribosomal RNA
Source: RNAcentral
AUACGUAGGGAGCAAGCGUUACCCGGAAUUACUGGGCGUAAAGGGUGCGUAGGCGGCCUUAUAAGUCAGAGGUGAAAUCCUCCAGCUUAACUGGAGAAUGGCCUUUGAUACUGUAGGGCUUGAAUUAGGAUGAGGUCAGCGGAAUGUGGCAUGUAGCGGUGAAAUGCAUAGAUAUGCCAUAGAACACCGAUUGCGAAGGCAGCUGGCUAGACCUUAAUUGACGCUGAGGCACGAAAGCGUGGGGAGCGAACAGGAUUAGAAACCCCGGUAGUCC